GGGAAGGCAUCUCUAUUAAGAGCGCUGCCGGCUGGUUAUCAGAGAAGAGGACCUGUUGUAGAAAAGCACAGAGCCCUGUGUACACAGUUGGCAGGCUUCUAAAUAUGCGGGCGGAUCAAACUCUGCUAGAGAUUCGAUUUUGGUUCAAAAACAUACGUUUUUGAGGACAAAGAAAACUCUUGGCUCUCCAACCUUAUUGUCUCCAUCUCUCUCGAAGAAUAAUAUUUAAAAACUAACUUGUCUUAAUUAGGGCAUUUAGAAUGACGGGACUAGCACUGAGUCACUUGGGAAUUCAUAACCCGACAUAUAAUCACUUUUGGAAUGGAGUGCAUUUAUGCCUUCAAAAAGUUGGCCUCAUUUUCUGAAGCUGAAAUCCUUUUGAUCAUAAUUACUUCUGACCUAAAAUUACCCACAGUCACCAUACAAUGCCACGCUGGGACAAAAAAGAAAUACACAUUGUAAGUAUCUGAUAACAGAUAUAAACUAUCGGCCAACUUAAAUAGUACCAUAAUUUAGACUACGAUGAAACUAUACAACUAUAUGUUUCUGAAUAUAACAUUUACUCAUUAUUAUUAUUAUUUAGGUGCAGUGGGUGGGGCCAUUGUCAUAAAUACUAAAAUAAGAGUGGUUAAAGUGUAUUGAAGUAUAAAUGAUAAAGAUCUGAUAACUUUCCAUACAAAUUAGAAUCAGAUGAAUGCAUGGAUGUAGUUAUUUCACCACCUGUUUUGAAGUCAAAUUUUGUAUGUAAAUGUCUUAAAACCAGAUUGCAUUCUUACCCAAAUACUCUUCGUGAUUGCCUGCUUUGCGGCUUUGGGAUUCUUCAGGGAGUAGAGAAUAUUCACAGGGUUAACAUCCCAGCCUUCUCAGCAUCCAUGAAGACUUUCUCCAGAUUGGUGAACAGGCCUAAUCCUGAAGACAGACUUUUUGGCCCCCUGCUAACUUUGAGAGAGAAGGCACCAGCUGUGUUCCCUGAUGGAGUGGGGAUGGCAGCUGCAAGCUGAAACACCAUGUUGUCUCAU
This 1019-nucleotide long non-coding RNA is filed under the name Macaca mulatta (Rhesus monkey). Its description in RNAcentral is "lncRNA (ENSMMUG00000050540.1)". The record is from RNAcentral. Lineage: Eukaryota; Metazoa; Chordata; Mammalia; Primates; Cercopithecidae.